Molecule: unclassified non-coding RNA, 301 nt
Filed under: uncultured Thielavia
Lineage: Eukaryota; Fungi; Ascomycota; Sordariomycetes; Sordariales; Chaetomiaceae
Description: sequence contains ITS1
Rfam family: 5.8S ribosomal RNA (bases 1-105)
Source: RNAcentral
GAAAUGCGAUAAGUAAUGUGAAUUGCAGAAUUCAGUGAAUCAUCGAAUCUUUGAACGCACAUUGCGCCCGCCAGUAUUCUGGCGGGCAUGCCUGUUCGAGCGUCAUUUCAACCAUCAAGCCCCGUGCUUGUGUUGGGGACCUGCGGCUGUCCGCAGGCCCUGAAAGACAGUGGCGGGCUCGCUAGUCACACCGAGCGUAGUAGUAUUAUCUCGCUCAGGGCGUGCUGCGGGUUCCGGCCGUUAAACCCCCUUUACCCCAAAGGUUGACCUCGGAUCAGGUAGGAAGACCCGCUGAACUUAA